This is a long non-coding RNA of Saccostrea cuccullata (small rock oyster), 161 nucleotides long. RefSeq lists it as uncharacterized. NCBI's taxonomy places the organism in Eukaryota, Metazoa, Mollusca, Bivalvia, Ostreida, Ostreidae. The transcript is spliced from 3 exons. The record is from RefSeq and is a predicted model, not a curated record.
AUUUGGCAGAUAAUACCAGAGAUCCAGAACCAGACUAUCUGGAUCUAAAUCCAGAUUUAAACACGAACAAUGUUCCUCGUGCAUUCUUAACAGCUGGUUUUCCUAAGAAUCGAAUUCCAGGAUAUGAUAGGGGAAAUGAUGAGAACGAUUAUAUUCCAGAG